GAGCAGCCUCCCCUCAGCCUCCUCUUCUCUGGGCUGAACAAACCCAGCGACCCAAGCCACUGCGCACACACCUUGCCCUAUGGACCUCUCCAUCUUUGUUGCCUUCAAUCUCUUGUGAUAUGAUAGUGGUAUGAGAUUAUGUUUUUGGAUCUACUAAUUGAGUUUUACAAGCUUGUUUGGGGGGGUUUGUUUACAGAGUUGUUCAAACGAUAAUACUGUUUGUGCUUACUGCCCAUGUGUAAAGACGAAUAUUACAGUGAGGUGGAUGCAGUCAGAGCAGCAGAACAGAAGCAAGCUGUAAUUUGUCUUGCCUAGGUUUCGGUAAGACCUAAGCAGCAGUGUGAGUAUUGGAGACAGAGGAAGCAGAACUGGAAACAAGCAGUGUACAAAACUGAUCCCUGUCCAAAACUAGCUGGGGAGGGCAGUGGUAGAAAGCUUUUGUUUCUAAUCUGUUCGUUUCCCUCAUGCAGGCGCCUGUGCAGCCCUGUGAUUAACCAAGCACUCAAGUACUGCAACAACCAAGGAUGGAGCUUAAGGCUCUCCCUAAGCCUGUGCUGCUGCUGGAGAAAGGCGUGGCCGAAUGUCAGGUUAGGGUGGGAAUCACGCAGAAGAAUUCACAUGUUAUGUAAUGUUUUGUUGUAGGGUGAAUUUGGAAACAGCACUGGGGUGUCAGUGCAUUUUGAGUACACAGUAGCUAAGUAAGUGAGCCUUUGUUUUGGAAGAGGUGGUCUUCAUGUGAUAACAGGCAAAUUUGACUCAGUCUGAGCUGUGCCUAAUCCACAACGUGGGGCUGUUCCCACCAGCUGCUAUCUCACCACUUCUCUUGCACAGAAAGUACAGGUUGUGCAGUUUUAUGGUGGUUACCACCUGCUGAGCCACUGAAAGACUGAUCAAUUUUGUUUUCUUUUCUAGUUUCCGUCCCUGUGGAAAUCAGUAAUCUCAAAUUCAACUCUUGGCUGCGUGAUUGCCACAUCAGGUAUACAGGAAGGGUGAGCGUGGGAUCACAUCAUGUCGCAGUAGCCUGCAGUCAGAACAGAUGGAGCACAGCAUGAAGCUGCACUUCGGUAGUUGGGGACAUCUGGGAGGUAACCAGAAAAUCACGGCCUUUGGUUUUCCCUCAUUUGCUACGGUUCUUAAUCCUUUUGCAUUUGUUUUAGUAUAUAAAAUGCGUCAGCUAACAGAGCAUUCUCUCUAUAAUCCCAUUUGUUGUCAAAGGAGUGCCUCAAAUUGUUCUGCCUAGGCAGCCCCAUGAAGUGGCAAAUGCUUUGUUUUCUUGGAAAUAAUUUGCCUGAGGUUAAAUGCAAAUAUAAAUCUCAGAGGGAAAUGAAAGUUCCCAGGUGGCUGUCACAUGGGCAAAUGAAGAACAUCACUCCAGUGCUUUCUGCUGGGCUUCUAUUGAUGGGUUUUUAUAAAUCACUGGAGUGAUAACUGGAGCCCGGGCUUCCUUGGUUAUUUAAAGCAUCACGGAUGCUUUACAGUUUUAAGCAGCGCACUGUGCUUUGUUUUUAAUUUUUACAGAAAGUCAGUUGUCAUUAUCCAAAUGUUCCAGUUCUGGUGGUUGCGUGUGUCCCAACAUCUGCAGCUGCUGUUGGAGCUGUUGCUCUUUUGGGAGUACCCCUCGCAGCCCUCUGCCUUGUUUCCCCGUGGCACAGUAAUACAGAGGUUGUGGCAGUUAGGAGCAGUGAUGACAUCCAGUGGCUGCACUAUGAGAUCAUGAGUGUUAUUGCACACAAAUGCAACCUUUUGCUAAAAAUGUCAAUCAGUGCUGUCUGUAUUAUCUAUCAGUGUGACCCUUUAUGCUACUGCUAUGCUAAUGGCCACUCGUAUGAGGGGGCAGCUGAUAAAGUCCAUGCAUUGCAUUGGCCUUGUCUAAUGCAAAUUGGAGGAUUAAAAAAAUGGCACAACUGUGCAUAUAUGGAAUACAGCUUCUGGAAGAUGCUCUGCUACAUGGGCAUUUCUGCUGGGAGACCAAGCAAAAGCUAGUUGUAUUGCAGAAUGCCUGACAGGAACGUGAAUGUGGUUUUUGGCACACUUUGUAUAUAAAGCCCAGCAGUUAUGCUCUGUAAUGAUUGCUUAUACAGUUGCUGGAAACCACCAUAGGCUUUGCUGCAUGGGCCCACCUUUCCUCUCCCCAAGCUGUGGGCUCCCACACCCUGGUGUGUCAUUGCACUUUGCUGCUGGGGCUGCCUGGGCAGGGCAGGAGUGCCCUCAGAGGUGUUCUGCAAAGUGAUGUUAUUUAUACACUCUGCGUUGACCCAAACCACCACUCACCUGCAAAGGCACUGCCUGGGAUAGGCCAGAGAAAGGAAAGGGCUGUGUGGGAGAUGAACAUGGAUACCUCCUGUCACCAGUGUGAGUGCCUUGUGAAAUCCUGCUUUUGCUCACAGUACUGAGCUGGCUAUCUUCACAGCUGCACUGGUGAGCUUUCCUGUGGCCACUGCUCCAUGAGCAUUUCUAGGGCAGCAGAGGCAGUUCCACCCAUCACUCCUCCUGAAACCACUUACUGAGAGUGCUUAUUUUUUCCAUCUGCACCAUGAGCAUUCCUUCUUUUGACCAGAGCUGUAAAGCAAAACUUAUGCUUGGUGAUGGAGCAAGGAACAUCUCUGAUGCAACUGAGUUUAUUGACAAAGUGUGUGGCUUGUCCUCAACUCUUAAGCAGGGAGAAGAUUAACACAUACAUCAUCACCUUCAGCAGAGAUGCAGCCAGCCUCUCCUAAAAGCUCUACAUAAAAACUUGGCUAAGCAUCAAGACAUUAUCAGAGGCACACACUGUGCUGGUGCAGGAGCAGGACCUAAAAGAGAGGUGAUGAAAUGAGAGGGGGACUGUGAAAACAACCUUUAGUUGAGGCCUGAGCAUGGCAGAAAGGAAUUUGUCUCUUAAGCAAAAUGAGGUUGGAGCAGCAGGAGGGAUGUGCUGAAGGACAUGUGAAGCCUCAGCUGCAGGAGCAGUGGUUGAGUUACUGAGUGUAGAAAGGAGAAAAUAAGGGCCUGGUUUCCUGGGUCCUGGUAUGUACCUGGAGCCACUCCAUCCUGCUGCAUCCCCACCCAGGGUGGAGUUCCUGGAGUUACACUGCUGAAAAAGAGAGCUUUGGAGGAGCAGUUGCUGGUGGCAGCACGGCUGCAGGACGGAGAGCUGCAUCUUUAGUGCUGUGUCAGUGCUUGGAGCAUCAGGAGGUAGUGAACGCCCUGCCUCACUCCCUGCCUUGAUGAGGGACAAACACUCAUUAGAUCUCCAAAUACAAAGGGAGCACUGCUAAUUGACAGCUGUGUGUAGUGUUCGCUUCUUGAGCAUAUGAGAUUGCUCACUGCUGUUGAGUUUUGAGACUGUUUUAGGUUCUCCAGAGUGCUGUUGUACAUCUCAUUGCUGACAGGAUGCUCGUUACACAGGAGCUGCUUACCAGCACACUCAGCCCAUCACAGCUUUCACUUACACCUCUUUCAACACGUGGACAGUUGUAUAGAGAAUCAGAGAAUUACUCAGGUUGGAAAGGACCUCAAAGAUCAAGUCCAGCCACAGCCUAACCAUAGUACCCUAACUCUAACAACCCUCUGCUAAAUCAUAUCUCCGAGCACCACAUCCAAACGCCUCUUAAACACAUCCUGCUGUCUAACUUAAAACUGGCUGCUGUUGAACUCAUCUGCAAAGUGGACUCGACUUAGGGAACAUGCACUGCUCGGACUCCUCAAACAUCUCUUCUAAUUAAAAGGGUGCAGAAAAUGGAGGAACGUGGCAACAACCCAAUGGCCUUACGUGUCAGCCCAGGAAGGAAAACCACUACAGCAUGGAUGCAUGGAGCUGCCUUUGCUGGGAACCCCUGUGGCUGAAGCACGGAGUUCACCGUCGCGUGAUUUCCAUAUGAACGAAAACUUCAGCUGAGCUCCUUGCCGCGUGCCUUCGGCCAAACGGCGCUCUGAAGAGAGAUUUGCCCUCCGACACUCCGGCGCUUCACCCACCAAGUAGCGCCGCAGAGCCGAGGCGGUGCGCGGCUCGAGGUCUCCCCCUGCAGGGACAGCGCGGCGCAGCUCCGGCACAGGGACUGCGCAGGCUGCGCCCUCCGCGCUGCGCGGUGGUGGAGGAGCUGCUGCUCACCGCGCAGCCUCUGACAGUACCUGACGGCUGCUUGGCCGUGUCCCCACACCGCAGGGCUGCUGCAAUCCAAGCAAACGACACUCUGCACAUCACAGUUAUUCGGGGAAAGUCACCUCAUAGCAGUCAGUGUAAAGCCUAAUAUUGUACCUAUUGAUUAAACAAGGGUAACUAAGGGGAAGAGGUAACAGCGUUCACCUUCCUAGAACAUAUGGAGGGAAAGUGACAUGCUGGCUGCUUGGUGAGUGUAUAUAAUUUCAUUCCAGCAGCAAAUAGCUCUGCACGCUGCACAGCCCGUCUGGACCCAUGGGCUCUCUCUUACUCUGCAGCCGUUCCCACCUUCUGACACGGCAGGUGCCCACAGCAGGGCACACAAAACAAACCACCCCAUGACAGAAAGGUCAUUUUUGCACCACUAAGUAACACAGGAAAAAAAAAUUCAAAGCCUUUCUUUCACCUUUUUGUCUCUUUCUGUGUUUUAUAACUUAUAUGAUGUACAUCCACCACUUCAGUAACAUAUAAUAUAAACAAAGCAGCUGUUUUGGUGGUGGUGGUGUUUUUUUUUUUGAAUGGGGGGGUGAAUGCCCUCCAAAUACUUUAACUUCUGCUUAAAAGCCAACCUCUGAGUCUGUCUACAGAAAUGGGCUUAAAGAGGCACACACACAAUCAGAUUCAAAAGAUUAACAACAGUCAUCUUUAUUCCACACAAGACAUAACUACAGAACACCCGCAAUCCUUCUGGUCGCAUUCUGUGGCAACCUGAAACAGGAGACACACCAACCUACUUUGCAAACUAUGAACCAAUCAAGGAAAGAGUGAUGGCACUGCUAAAGAUUAAGCGUUCCUUCUAAACAAAUGAACUAAAAGGUUUAAAAGGUGACUUAUACCCUUGACGUUUAGCUUUGUCUUCGCGUGUUCUUACUUUGCAACAAAGGCAAUAAAAAAAAGCCUGCUUUAGAACAGCAAGGAGGAAUAAGCAGUAAAUAUAAUCAUACAAAGCAGCAAUAGCUCAGUAUGGCCUCAUGCGGCUCGAAGGUGGCGGUGCGCGGUUGGGAGGCGUGAUGGCUAUAUCCAAGUAGUCUCCUAUCUGGAAUUUCUGGGACUGCAAUGUCAUAGAAUCAUCUGUGCCCUUCCUGCCCGACAUGGUACUGCCGAUCUCCUUCACCCUGUAGCCCGGUCGCUUGAGAUCUGUAAAAACAAUUGCAAAAUUGAAGUGCGUGCCCUUCUUCCGUGCUUCUGGGUACACCUCCUUCACCAAACUGGUGAGCUCCUUCAGAGUUGCGUCCAUCCAGGUGUAGAUCUGCAGCUCGCUGGAGGGCACGUUGCCGCGGGAGAACUCGUCCAUGCGGUGGUGCCGCCCGUUGUUGGUGGUGAAGACGCGGAGCAGCAGCGGACACGUCUUCUCCCGGUCGAUCGGCUUCUCCGGUUCCUUCUUGAUCUCCUCCUGCGUGACGCGCGACUCCACCGCCAUCUUGUCCCGCAGCAGACGGCCCGGAUGUCUCGAGGCGCGCGCACAGUUCUCGCGAUAGUGGAGUGAAGGCGGCGGUGCGCGCAUGCUUGCUGGCCGCUGCUGGGCGCGCGGGAGAGGUGCGAGGGCGGCUGAGGUGGCGGGUGGUCUGCGUCGGCUGAGGGCGAUGGCGGCUCGAACCGCGCCGUGCUGCCAGGCGGGAGUAACGUAGCGCUCUGUGGUGGCUGUUGGGCCCCGGCGGUUGGCGUCAGCCCGCGUUCCAGCCGAGUCUGUGCCGACUGCGGUAAUGCUGGGUGGGUAGAGCUGCCCAGCGGGUCCCCUCCCGAUAAUCCAGAUCCAGAUGUACGGAUCUGAGGUAGUGUUGGGUUGACAGAGGAGAGCUUUAGGUCAGAUGUGAGCAGGAAAGGCUUUACUCAGAGGGCGGUGAGACGCCGGCACAGCUGCCCAGGGAGCUGUGGGUGCCCCGUCCCUGCAGGCCCUCAGGGCCAGGUUGGGUGGGCCCAGGCUGACGUGGUGGGUGUGGGGCUGGGUGGGCUCUGAGCUCCAUUCCAGCCCAAACCGUGAUGUGAUCUGAGGGAAAUACUGCGCUCCUCGGGCUGGUUUGGUGCAAUGUGCUGUAGGCUUCUUGCAGUGCUCAGCGUUGGGCACUCUGUUUACAUUCUGUAAACUGUUACCCAUGGUUUCUGUUGCAUGGAAAAGCUUUUACUGAGCUACUGAUGCUUCUUGGAAAAAGGCACUUCCUUCUGUAUGGAGAAAGGCUUAAACAGCUGCCUAAUGUAAAUAAAUGAAAUAAUCAGCCAGUGCAGCUACUGGUUGAUUCAAAUAAAUUAGAAGGGGGUAAAUUGUAUUUAGAAUUUCACUUCCCGUAAUAUUACAUGUUGGAAAGAUCAAGAACAUAUGCUUUCCAUUUCUGGGCUUGGCUUCUCCAAGAAUAGAGUCUUGUAUUAGGUUAAAUUUAAGUCUGAUGUUUUGUCGUAGACUAUGAGGGUGUGAGAGAUGUGUGUUCCUGAUGUGAUAACUUAAAAAAAAGUGAGCUAUUGUCUCAAAAGGGGGAAUGCUCGUUUGUUUUCAGAUAAUUUAGACUUAAAUUAUUUCACAAAGUGUUGUGAAUUUCUUCAAGAGUAAAACAAAAAUUCUGUAAAAUGAUGUGAAAAUACAAUCACAGAAUUGUUUGAGUUGGAAGGAACCCUUAAAGGUCAUCUGGUCCAACUCCCUGCCAUGAACAGGGACACCUACAGCUGCAUCAGGUGCUCAGAGCCCCAUCCAGCCUGACCUGGACUGUCUCCAAAGACAGGGCAUCCACCACCUCUCUGGGCAACCUGUGCCAGUGCCUCACCACCCUUAUUGUAAAAAACUUCUUUAUGUCCAAUCUAAAUCUUCC
This 6936-nucleotide long non-coding RNA is filed under the name Gallus gallus (chicken). Lineage: Eukaryota; Metazoa; Chordata; Aves; Galliformes; Phasianidae. The record is from RNAcentral.